GUGGGGAAUAUUGGACAAUGGGGGGAACCCUGAUCCAGCCAUGCCGCGUGUGUGAAGAAGGCCUUAUGGUUGUAAAGCACUUUAAGCGAGGAGGAGGGUACUGGUAUUAAUACUACCAGCUACUGGACGUUACUCGCAGAAUAAGCACCGGCUAACUCUGUGCCAGCAGCCGCGGUAAUACAGAGGGUGCGAGCGUUAAUCGGAUUUACUGGGCGUAAAGCGUGCGUAGGCGGCUAAUUGAGUCGGAUGUGAAAUCCCCGAGCUUAACUUGGGAAUUGCAUUCGAUACUGGUUAGCUAGAGUGUGGGAGAGGAUGGUAGAAUUCCAGGUGUAGCGGUGAAAUGCGUAGAGAUCUGGAGGAAUACCGAUGGCGAAGGCAGCCAUCUGGCCUAACACUGACGCUGAGGUACGAAAGCAUGGGGAGCAAACAGGAUUAGAAACCCUUGUAGUCC
Molecule: ribosomal RNA, 451 nt
Filed under: uncultured Acinetobacter sp.
Lineage: Bacteria; Pseudomonadati; Pseudomonadota; Gammaproteobacteria; Moraxellales; Moraxellaceae
Description: bacterial SSU rRNA
Rfam family: Bacterial small subunit ribosomal RNA
Source: RNAcentral